RNAcentral lists this long non-coding RNA (940 nucleotides) under Piliocolobus tephrosceles (Ugandan red Colobus). RNAcentral's name for it is "lncRNA (ENSPTEG00000032105.1)". Lineage: Eukaryota; Metazoa; Chordata; Mammalia; Primates; Cercopithecidae. The record is from RNAcentral.
AACACCUUGCCCACCUUCUGCACACCAAGCGUGGAUUCUGCAAAAUGUGAGCCCAACAGGAAGCUGCCUGCAAUUUCAGGUAGCUUUUCUGACUCUUAAAGAGAUCUCAAGUAUACUUUCAGAGAAAUGCCAGCAAAAACUGUAGUCAUUCGGGAAGGAAAAAGUCUGGAAGAAAAAGAUACAGUGAACUACUAGCACAACGAGGAGUUUGAAAAGUUCAUGACAGCUCACAGUUCACGAUGGUGGCGAUCUUAAGGAUACAGAAAGCUCAUUCCUCAUGCAGGGAAGAAGAAAAUAUUCUAAAGAAGAGAUAAGCAUAUUCCGCGAAAUCAAAAAAGAAAUCUAUUUUUUGAAGAUGUCAUCACUGCAGCGUGGAGUCAGGAAAUGAAGAAAACAACAGAGCUUUCCUCAGGUCAUCUUGGGGUCUUUCAGUAAACUGAAAGUAACUGAGUUAGAAAGGAAUCUCCGGGAGAGGCCAGGGGAGUACCACCAGCCCACCACUACAGAGAAGUUCAAAGCUAAGCUACUCACAGAAAACAAUGCUCAACCACAGGGCGGAUGUGCUGUUUUUCACACCCCAAGUCAUUUAUCUGAAAAGCAAUAGCAGUAAAUUCUUCAAGUGUUUGCUGUGAUCGGAUUUCUCCAGAAGAAAGAAGAUAAAGAAUGCUAAACUUCUCCAUCCCAUGUUUGCCUCACACACCUGUUUCUCCUAGGCAGAUUCUUUAAACCUUUUUUUCCUCACUUUUCAACAAGAAACUAUAAAAUUAAAACAAUUAUUUUUAAUCUUUGGGGAUAUUCACUUAAUUAAUAUGUUCACUGUUAUAUCUGUUGUGACAAUAAGAGAAUCUCCCUGGAAAGUGAACACAAUUUCCACAUGGGCAAAUGACAGGAGUAUUAAUUAGCUCAACAUGCCACUAAGGCUUUAACUCUAAUAGUCUAU